RNAcentral lists this transfer RNA (72 nucleotides) under Camelus dromedarius (Arabian camel). It matches the Rfam family "tRNA". Rfam says of the family: Transfer RNA (tRNA) molecules are approximately 80 nucleotides in length. Their secondary structure includes four short double-helical elements and three loops (D, anti-codon, and T loops). RNAcentral also lists the same sequence under 1 other name. Lineage: Eukaryota; Metazoa; Chordata; Mammalia; Artiodactyla; Camelidae. The record is from Rfam by way of RNAcentral.
GCAGGUACAGCUCUAGGGUAGAGUGCGUGCUUAGCAUGCACGAGGUCCUGGGUUCAAUCCCCAGUACCUGAA